UUUGGGGCUGGGCGAGGGUCGCGGACCGUGCUGGAGCGCGCCUGGCCACCGCUGAGGGUCGGAGCUGGGUGCGUGGUGUGUGCGCUCCGCCUGGGAAGGCCCUGCAGACCCGGGCUGGGGAGCAGCUGGUGCCCUAGGUGCUGCGACAGAGGGCCCGCAGGCCGGGGCUGGGGCCGGGGGCGUCCUGAAGCUGCCGAUCUGCUGACCUGGGCCCAACUUAGGCUGCACUUGUUCAUCCAUUGAGCGCAAUUUUAAACACGUGUUGGAAGGAGGAGACCGUGAAAAGGAAGUUCUCCAGGGCAGAGAGCACAAGCCGGCUGAUGCUGGGGAUGGCGACAGCACUGGCUAAUGCCCAUUCCCCAGCUCCUCUGAAUCUGAAGAAGGAGGGGCUUCAGACAGUGAAGGAGGAUCCCUGCUCUACUUGGGAACAGGGAUUCAAGCUGCCAGGAAACAGCACCGGCCUUGGACAAGAACCGCUGUGCAAACAGUUCAGGCAGUUGCGAUAUGAAGAGACCACAGGACCCCGCGAGGCGCUGAGCCGGCUCCGGGAGCUGUGCCGUCAGUGGCUGCGGCCCGAGACGCACAGCAAGGAGCAGAUCCUGGAGCUGCUGGUGCUGGAGCAGUUCCUGACCAUCCUGCCCGAGGAGCUGCAGGCCCGGGUGCGGGAGCAGCACCCCGAGAGUGGGGACGAGGUGGUGGUUGUGCUGGAGGAUUUGCAGCCAGAGCUUGGAGAAGCAGGACAACAUGUGGGCCCAGACCAGGCAAAGAAGCAGAAGAUGCUCGCAGAGGAGGCAGCCCCUGUGGAAGCAGCGCGGGAGCCGCAGGUCCAGCCUGAGCGUGACGUCCCAAAGCCUGAAGAAGAGAAGGGUGAGGAGACAAAGACUGAGAAUAGGAAGACGGUGGUAGAGCCAGAUUCUUGUGGAGGAGUGGAAUCAUCUGGGAAAAUAUCUGAACCCAUAGAACCUCGUCAUGAGGACCCUAACUUGGAAGGGCAGCAGGUCAAGCCCAAGGAGAAGACUGAAUAUAAAUGCUCAGACUGUGGGGAGGGAUUCACCCAGCGCUCAGAGCUGAUUAGACACGAAGGGACACACACACAAGGGAGGCUCUGUGAAUCUGAGGCUUGUCCGAGUCCUCGUCCUACUGCACAUCAGAAAAUCCACUCUAGAGAGAAAGGUCAUCAGUGUCACGAGUGUGGGAAAGCCUUUCAGAGAAGUUCUCACCUCGUCAGGCACCAGAAAAUCCAUCUUGGAGAGAAGCCUUAUCAGUGCAAAGAGUGUGGAAAGGUCUUUAGCCAGAAUGCAGGCCUUCUGGAACACCUUAGAAUCCAUACUGGAGAGAAACCUUACCUGUGCAUCCACUGUGGGAAGAACUUCAGGCGCAGCUCCCACCUCAACCGACACCAGAGAAUUCACAGUCAGGAGGAGCCCUGUGAGUGCAAGGAGUGUGGGAAGACCUUCAGUCAGGCCCUUUUCCUCACCCACCACCAGAGAAUCCACAGCCACUCCAGAAGCCAUCGCUGUAACGAGUGCGGGAAAGCCUUCAGUUUGACCUCGGACCUCAUUCGCCAUCACAGGAUUCACACUGGAGAAAAGCCUUUUAAGUGUGCCAUAUGCCAGAAAGCCUUCCGACUGAACUCCCACCUGGCUCAGCACGUGAGAAUCCACAACGAAGAAAAACCCUAUGAGUGUAAUGAAUGCGGCGAAGCCUUCAGGCAGAGGUCGGGUCUUUUUCAGCAUCAGAGAUACCACCACAAACACAGUCUGGCUUGAUGGGGCAUCCUCUCUGCAAGGAACACGACGGACAGUAUGUUGACAAGCAAACAGCACUUUAGGAAGAGUCACUCCAGCCAAUUCUAGCCUCAGAGAACUCCAGGGGGCCAAGUGGGAGGCUCUGUCCCUUCACUUGUGCUCAGCCUUGGACCACAGUGAUUUGAUCCUCGAUGGGACUGUGGGAAAAAAGCAAAGCCGCAUUCUUCACUGCAGAACUUCUCUGAGCCUUUAACAUGGUAAAUGCAUGAUUGCACGCCUCCAAGUAGUAGAGAGCCUCAUGAUUGAGCGAGGGCUUUGAAGUCACCAGUGAGUCAGUCAAGUAUCCACAGAUUUAUAGUCUUGACCAGAACAAGAGCAGGUGGAAAAAUCUGGAGACAAGCAGUCCAGGACUGAUACAGUGUUUCCUUGACACCACUAGGGAUCCUGCUUCUGCUCCAACAUCCUAGUGCACACCAUCAGUCCUGAGGUUGUCACAUGAUCCUUGGUGGCUGCUUAAGCUCCAGCCAUCACAUGCAAAAUGCAGACAGAGGCAGAAGGACAAAGAUGCCUCCCAGCUCAGCCAGCCCUCUGUGAGCAGCCUCCCAGAAGUCACUUCCACACAUACUCUACAGGCCAAAACUUGGGAAAGGGAGUUGGGAGAGUGUGUCUUAUUCUGGUUUGCGGAGUGCCCAGCCAAAAACUAAGCUGCUGUCACUAGGAAGAAAGGGGAGCAUGAAGGCUGGAACAGGCACUUUGCAGUCUUUGACCCACUUCCCACCUGCUGCGUGUGGUGUGACCAGGUGCCACCGUUAAUACCAUUUCCUGGAGGAGGACCAAAUCUGUGGGAGAAGCAGUGCAACUUUUUGUGGCUCUAAAGAAUUUCAUGGAAACAGUCAUGUUCCAUUCCUUAGGAAGUCGUAAAGCUAUCUGUCUUUCAAUCUGCCGAUGAAUAAAAUUAAGUUGAUAUCAGGAAUUUUCUCCCAAGUGUUUUGACGGCUGUGCUGAGGUCAGUACCUAAGCAUUCAGCUCUGUGUCAUAGUUUAAAUCUGUUCGAUUCUGUUCUAUUUUGGAAGGAAAGAACAGAAUGUCUGUUUGCUUCUCUGUUAAGAAGGAAAAAACAAUUCUCAUGAAAAAGCAAUGACAACAAGAGUUACAGUAUGAAGAGUGAUAUAGCCUUAAAUAUUUGGAAAAUUUAGCUUUCUUUGUGGUGAUUCUGUAGUACACACAUUAUAAAGUUUUCUAAGUUUGUUGAUACCUUAACCAACCUAAUCCCUCACACAGUCCCAAAGGAAAUGGUGUUCUCAUCAGUACCCUGGGGGCAUACCCAUAAUGACUUGGACAUAAAUGUUGGAUACAGGUAUGUUUUAUUUAUUUUUUAAAUUUUUUUGAAAGAGCAUGGGGGCGGGGAGGGGAAGUGGGAGUGGGGGCAAAACAGUCUCAAGCAGGUCCCACGCCCAGGACCCUGAGAUCAUGACCUGAGCUGAAAUCAAGAGCCAGGUGCCCCUGGAAACAGGUAUAUUUUAAUAACAUGCUUUUCUUUUCUAGAAGAAUAUAGAAACAUUGAACAAACGGCAAAAUGUUAUAACAGAUCUUGAUGAAGGUUUUGCUUGCAGUGCAACACAUGAUAGAGGCUCUAGAAGGAAAGCUCAAAGUCUAUUCAGAGGGCAGCAACCCAGAAAGGAUGAGCUCUAUUGCAAAGUAUCUUCUCCUGAUCAGCUUUUCUGUUGGGAUAGUAUCCUAUAAUGUUCAAAAAAGAGUGGUCCUUGUGUGUCUUCAUUUCCUCUUCACUCUCCUGUUUAAAAAACUGAUAAAGCUAUAAAUAAGUGUGCCAUUAUAAAUGUAGUAUGGAAAAACAAGAAAGGGAAAAAUAAAGCACCCUAAUUUUCACCUGUCAAAAAUAAUCACUGUUUAAUGUGCAUAUAUACACACACAUACUCGAAUUGUGAUUUGUUGUUACUAAUAAUUUCUGCUUAAUUUUUAAUACCACCUGUCCAUGUUUAUCUUCAUAAAUUCUUAAUAAAUUAACUUGUUUAUUAUGAUAGAAAU
RNA transcript from Callorhinus ursinus (northern fur seal), 3794 nucleotides. It is a transcript of the gene named zinc finger and SCAN domain-containing protein 26, with no coding region annotated. The record is from RefSeq and is a predicted model, not a curated record. NCBI's taxonomy places the organism in Eukaryota, Metazoa, Chordata, Mammalia, Carnivora, Otariidae.